RNAcentral lists this ribosomal RNA (461 nucleotides) under uncultured bacterium. RNAcentral's name for it is "partial 16S ribosomal RNA". It matches the Rfam family "Bacterial small subunit ribosomal RNA", at positions 338 to 795 of the family's 1533-position model. The record is from RNAcentral.
CCUACGGGAGGCUGCAGUGAGGAAUAUUGGUCAAUGGGCGCAAGCCUGAACCAGCCAAGUCGCGUGAGGGAUGACGGUCCUAUGGAUUGUAAACCUCUUUUGUCGGGGAGCAAGGCCCGCCACGUGUGGCGGGAAGGAGAGUACCCGAAGAAAAAGCAUCGGCUAACUCCGUGCCAGCAGCCGCGGUAAUACGGAGGAUGCGAGCGUUAUCCGGAUUUAUUGGGUUUAAAGGGUGCGUAGGCGGAAGGUUAAGUCAGUGGUCAAAUGUCGGUGCUCAACAACGGCCUGGCCGUUGAAACUGGUCUUCUUGAGUGAGCGAGAAGUAUGCGGAAUGCGUGGUGUAGCGGUGAAAUGCAUAGAUAUCACGCAGAACCCCGAUUGCGAAGGCAGCGUACCGGCCGGUCACUGACGCUGAGGCACGAAAGCGCGGGUAUCGAACAGGAUUAGAUACCCUAGUAGUC